Molecule: ribosomal RNA, 292 nt
Filed under: uncultured bacterium
Lineage: Bacteria
Description: partial 16S ribosomal RNA
Rfam family: Bacterial small subunit ribosomal RNA
Source: RNAcentral
UCAGGCCUAACACAUGCAAGUCGAACGAGACCUUCGGGUCUAGUGGCGCGCGGGUGCGUAACGCGUGGGAACCUGCCCUUAGGUUCGGAAUAACUCAGAGAAAGGUGAGCUAAUACCGGAUAAUGUCUUCGGACCAAAGAUCUAUCGCCUUAGGAUGGGCCCGCGUAGGAUUAGGUAGUUGGUGGGGUAAAGGCCUACCAAGCCGACGAUCCUUAGCUGGUCUGAGAGGAUGAUCACCCACUCUGGGAUUGAGACACGGCCCAGACUCCUACGGGAGGCAGCAGUGGGGAAU